This is a long non-coding RNA of Peromyscus californicus insignis, 4064 nucleotides long. RefSeq lists it as uncharacterized. The record is from RefSeq and is a predicted model, not a curated record. The transcript has 2 exons. NCBI's taxonomy places the organism in Eukaryota, Metazoa, Chordata, Mammalia, Rodentia, Cricetidae.
AAAUAGAAAAUAAACUUAGCAUAUAAAAUUUUGCAUACAUUUGAAGUUUUGAUCAAUCCUUGAGGCUAAUCUGAAAGAAUGUGUUAAGAUAAAUGAAAACUUAGAUGGAACUCCACCGUAACAAAUAAUUUUUCUGUCUUCUCUCCUGAGUACCACAGACUUCCAUUCAACAAAAGCAGCAUUCUCUCUGUGGCAAAUCAUUUCCAGGACAGACAGGUACUUGUGACCCUCCAGCUCCCACUUCCUACUUGUCUGAAGCUAUAAUCUGAACAAGGGACAUUUCAGCACAGAACAACAGAGAAUAAAGCUUUAUUUCUGAGAUUUAGAAGCUAACAGAAGGUGAGAACUAUGGUUGGGAACUAUGGAAAUAGAAAACUACACAGUACAGUUUCCCAACUCACUAUUUCUUAUUGGAGAAAAAUACCAAAUACUUUAUAAACUUACCAGAAUUAAUGCUGCUCCUUCAUAAAAGAGGCCAGGAGAUCCCUUGCAAAGCCAGUAAAACAAUGAAGUAAGAGAUUUCAAAAUACUAGAAAAUUUGGAUUAAAAAGCCAAUGUGAUUUUAAAACACAGAAUUAUAAAAAAUUCUGUAUGAGAGCCAAGUGCAUGCCUGUAAUCCCAGAACUUGGGAUAUAGAAGCAACUGAACUUCUGUAAAUUCAAGGUCAGUACACUUCACAUAGCAACUUCCCAGUCACACUAACUACAUAGUGAGACCCUGAUUCAAAUAAAUAAAUAAAUUUAAAAAUCACAUACAAAUGACAAAAUGUACUGGCUUGACAUAUACGAUGCAAGCUUUACUACUUGUAAUCUCUGGAUAAGGAAAGCGUACAAAGCAAGCAAUCAAGAAAGAGGACGAGUGGGGAAGGAAGGAAGGAAGGAAGGAAGGAAGGAAGGAAGGAAGGAAGGAAGGGAGGGGGGAGGGGGGAGGGAGGGAAGGAAGGUAGUAAGAAACAGAAUUGAACCUAUGCAUGAUGAAACAAGAGCUGGAUAAAAAUUCCCUCCAGAUGGAUUAAAAUUUUAAGGAUAUGGGCCGAGGAGAUGCCUUAGUCUAUAAGGUUGAACCCCGGCACCCACGUAAGAAGCCAGGGAUGGUGGUACAUACUUACAAUCCCGGCAUGGGGAGGCAAAGCCAGGCAGAGUCCAAGUUAGAGACUGUCUCAAAAAGAAAACCAAUGUGGACACUUCCUAAGGAACUGUAGUGGGUAGCCAUUCCAGCUUUGAUCUGGAAGUUCCAACCCCCAUUGAGGCUUCAGUAACUGUCACACCUUGUAGGCGGGCCGAGAGAGAACCCUGAAGACCCGAGAUCCGGAUGUGCUGGCUCUCUUGGUUCCUGGACCCUGGACGCUGGAGGUAGACCGAGCAGAGUUCUCCAGAGAACACCGCCGGACUGUGCUACACCUUUCUCAGACCGUUACCUAUCCCUUCAUUUGUGAGUUACCCCACAAAAUAAACCUCCCUUUUAACUACGUGGAGUUACCUCAAUAAUUUCACCAAUAUCUGGCACCCAACGUGGGGUACGGACUCAUGACCCUGAGAUUAAGAGUCUCAUGCUCUACCGACUGUCCUUCUGAGGUCUUUGAUGUAGUUGAAGACUGAAGUUAUAAUUGUCCUUAGUUAUGAAAAGAGAUAAAUUAGAUAUGAAACCUUAGACUCACAAACAUAGGACAGAUAGGAUAGCUUCUUAAUUUUGCCAAAUACAGACUAGAUAUUAUAAAUAGACUAGAUAGUAUAACUGUAAUUCUUGCUUGAUAAUUGUUUUGUUAUCUGUAAUUUUACUAUGUCAAAGUUAAAACCUUGCUUUUUGAAAAAAAAAAAAAAAAACAAAGAAAAGGGGAAGUGCUGUGGGAUGUUCUGUAUGUUAAAUGUGUUGCUCUGAUUGGUUAAUAAAUAAAACACUGAUUGGCCAGUAGCCAGGCAGGAAGUAUAGGCGGGACAAGGAGAGAAGAGAAUUCUGGGAAGUGGAGGCUGAGGAGAGAGACACUGCCAGCUGUCGCCAUGACAAGUGAGAUGUAAGGUACCGAUAAGCCACAAACCAUGUGGCAACUUAUAGACUAAUUUAAGAUAUAAGAACUAGAUAACAAGAAGCCUGCUGCAGCCAUACAGUUUGUAAGCAAUAUAAGUCUCUGUGUGUUUACUUGGUUGGGUCUGAGCAGCUGCGGGACUGGCGGGUGAGAGAGAUUUGUCCUGACCAUGGGCCAGGAAGGAAAACUCUAGCUACAAGGAACAACACUCAAGGCUGACCUCUGGCUGCUGCUGCUUCUUUUCUUUUUUUUUUUCUUUUUGUUGUUGUUGUUUUUCAAGACAAGGUUUCUCUGUGUAGCUUUGCGCCUUUCCUGGAGCUCGCUCUGUAGACCAGGCUGGCCUUGAACUCACAGAGAUCUGCCUGGCUCUGCCUCCCUAGUACUGGGAUUAAAGGCGUGUGCCACCACCGCCCGGCUGACCUCUGGCUUCUACAUGUUUGUGGGUAACAUUGCAACACACACACACACACUUUUUAAGGUUAAAAAUGCAUGAUAAUUCAAACCUAUAGCAUGAGAGUUUUCCUUAGUUGAAAAGAAAGUCUUUACUGGGUGGUUGUGGCACAUGCCUUUAAUCCUAGCACUCAAGAGCAGAAGAGCAGAUGCAGGCAGAUCUCUGAGUUCAAGAUCAGCCUAGUCUACAAAGUGAGUGCCAGAAUAGCCAGAGUGACACAGAGAAAACAAAACAAAACAAACAAAAAAGAAAAAACAGGAAGUCUUCAGGUCAUGAAAAACAUGUAACAGCUUAAAGAAAAUAAAAUAGCAUUCACUAAAAUUAACAGAGGGGUAAAUCAAAAAAUUAAAUGUCUGUUGUAUAAAAGUACCCCUAAUACAUCAUCAACAACCUACUGGAAAGUAAAGUAAUGUAAAAUCCUAGAGUACCUGACAAAAGGUAUGUAUCCUUCUAAAGAGGUCAUAAAAAGACUGGCCAAGGGAAAUAAUGUAAGCCAAAAGGACACAGGAUCACGUCGAUAUAAUAGAUGAAAAACUGUUAAACUGAAUUGUAUUUCCAGAAACAUAUCCUUGAAAACUGAGAGCAGGAAAAGAUGUUUACAGAUGAACACAGGGGAGAAGACUCUGACAGCCAAAUACCUGCUGUGAGAAAUACUCAUUGUUUAGCUUGAUGGAUGAUCCCAGAUAGAAGCACAGCAAUCAUCAGAAAGGAUAAAUUCACAGUAAAAGAAUGUUUACCAAGCAACAAAAUACCAGAAAUCACUUGGUUCCUCCAAAAGAAAAAGGGGGAGAAGGAGGAAACAAACAAAAUCCACUACAAACCCACAGCUGAGUCAAGAACAAGUAGCAAGAUGGUAAACCAAGUGUACCAAUGACCUACUGAAUGUAAACCGAAUGUACCAAUGACCUACUGAAUGUAAACCAAAUGUACCAAUGACCUAUUAAAUGUAAAUCAAAUGUACCAAUGACCUACUGAAUGUAAACCAAAUGUACCAAUGACCUAUUAAAUGUAAAUCAAAUGUACAAUGAUCUAAUAAAUGUAAACCAAAUAUUCCAAGCAAAAGAUAAUGCUUAAAUUGGAUGCCUUAAAAAAAUGCAACUUAGGCCGAGCAGUGGUGGCACACGCCUUUAAUCCCAGCACUUGGGAGGCAGAGACAGGCGGAUCUCUAUGAGUUCGAGGCCAGCCUGGUCUACAGAGUGAGAUCCAUGAAAGGCGCAAAGCUACACAGAGAAACCCUGUCUCAAAAAACCAAAAAAAAAAAAAAAAAAAAGCAACUUAUAUGAACAUAACUGAUAUACAAAGACAAUGAAAACCUAAUAAAAGGAAUGGGGAAAUAUAGAAUACAGUUUGGAAAGACGGUUUAAUAAGUAAUAGCAUUUAACUACUCUUGUAGAGACCUGGUUUGAUUCCCAGCUCCAAGGGGAUUCAACACCUCGGCCUCCUUGGGCAUCUGCACUCAUAUGCAUAUACCUCUCACAUACAUACAAUUAAAAAUAAUAAAAAUAAAUCUUUAGAAAAUAUAGACUACAAAAAAGCUUUUCAAAAAGACCGUAAAACUACAUUAGUGUCAAAGAUGUAAAAAAAAAAAGC